RNAcentral lists this ribosomal RNA (206 nucleotides) under uncultured bacterium. RNAcentral's name for it is "partial 16S ribosomal RNA". It matches the Rfam family "Bacterial small subunit ribosomal RNA", at positions 568 to 773 of the family's 1533-position model. The record is from RNAcentral.
UGCGUAGGUGGCGCGCUAAGUCAGGUGUGAAAUCUCGGGGCUUAACUCCGAAACUGCAUUUGAUACUGGCGUGCUUGAGGACUGGAGAGGAGACUGGAAUUCACGGUGUAGCAGUGAAAUGCGUAGAUAUCGUGAGGAAGACCAGUGGCGAAGGCGGGUCUCUGGACAGUUCCUGACACUGAGGCACGAAGGCCAGGGGAGCAAAC